This is a non-coding RNA of Heterocephalus glaber (naked mole-rat), 1194 nucleotides long. NCBI's taxonomy places the organism in Eukaryota, Metazoa, Chordata, Mammalia, Rodentia, Bathyergidae. The record is from RefSeq and is a predicted model, not a curated record.
CUCUGCAGCUGCCAGGAUUUGGUGAGCCUGGGGUUUGAGCCCAAAAGCCUGAUCAGAAGCCUGCUGUCCCUUUUCUCCCUUACUCUGUGGUUCUUAGCAGAGCUGUAUCACUCCCUAGGGAACUGUUCUGGAAGUUUGCCGUGAUGUUCUGAUUGUCAUAAUAACUGGAUGUUCUAGAAUUCAGGGGCCAGCCUUCCACAAUAAAGAUUCCAUGUGCCUCAUUGCCUUGAGUGCUCUGCCUGGGUCUGAUGUGCUCAGAAACAUGGACCUCUGACAUGAAAAAAAGCCUUCAAAAUAUCUCCUUUACUAUCUCUACAUCUGAGCCUCGACCCCAACUCAGUUUCACAUCUAGAUGGAAAGUAUGUCUUGCACGGGUAAUUCUCUAGAAACUCAGCUACAGUCCAGUGAGAGAGAGAAAACGGAGAUCUCGGGCAAUGCAGUGAGCCCUGUUGGGUCUCGCUUUUCUUCAGCAUGACGCAGAAGAUAACAGUUGGUCCCUGGCAUGGUUGAGGAGUGACACUGGGGAUUCCAGGAAAAGUGCUGCAAGACUGGCUGGGAAGACACUGAAUUGGAACGUGCAGGGAGGAUGGACCCAGUACUGCGUGCCCCCAGCCCCACAAAUGCAUCUAGUUUGGCCUCUACUACCGCACAAAAUUGGGACUUGGAGAGCUGGUUCCCUUGAGAGUUGGAAAGUGUGAGAGAAGUCAUCAAAAUCUCUCACGGGUGGCAAGUUUCAGAACUGGUGGAAACAAGAGGGUGAACAUAUCCUGUCCAGCUUCUCACUACAGGAAGCACAUGGCAGCCUGGGGCCUCUGCUCACCAGCUCAAAACGAAACUGUCCUUGUCUUCUGGACCUGAGCCUGCAGUAUUAAAUUUGCAGCUUGCUGUCAAAACCAGGAAUGGUAUUUUUUAAAACCAGAAGGCAUGAAAUGAAGAAAACUACAAGUUAUUUAACUAUUGAACCAGAACACAGCUACACCACAUUUCUCAGACUCCUUUGCUGCUAGAUACGGUCAUGUGAUUUCAUCCUGGCCAAUGAAAUAUGAGCAGAAGUAUAAGUAUCUUUUCCAGGGCUGGCCCAUGCCUCAUCUUCAUUUUCUUCCCCCAUCAGCUAAAUGAUGGGGAGGACUUGGAGUCAAGAGAAAAGUCCAGUCACCAGAGAGAAGCAGCCUCAGUCUCUGAAAGACUGUAUGG